UUCCAGCUGAUCUACCACAUGGUGUGAGGUGGUCACAUGAGUUGCAGUGCGAUAUGGGAAUAUGCUGCAUCCCGUGUGACCUCCCUACACGGUGCUGUGUCUCUCCGUCUGGAG
This is a non-coding RNA of Ornithorhynchus anatinus (platypus), 114 nucleotides long. RefSeq annotates it as microRNA mir-1421n-1. Lineage: Eukaryota; Metazoa; Chordata; Mammalia; Monotremata; Ornithorhynchidae. The record is from RefSeq and is marked provisional. The transcript has a single exon.